AGAGUUUGAUCCUGGCUCAGAACGAACGCUGGCGGCAGGCUUAACACAUGCAAGUCGAGCGCCUCGCAAGAGGAGCGGCAGACGGGUGAGUAACGCGUGGGAAUCUACCCAUCUCUACGGAACAACUCCGGGAAACUGGAGCUAAUACCGUAUACGUCCUUCGGGAGAAAGAUUUAUCGGAGAUGGAUGAGCCCGCGUUGGAUUAGCUAGUUGGUGGGGUAAUGGCCUACCAAGGCGACGAUCCAUAGCUGGUCUGAGAGGAUGAUCAGCCACACUGGGACUGAGACACGGCCCAGACUCCUACGGGAGGCAGCAGUGGGGAAUAUUGGACAAUGGGCGAAAGCCUGAUCCAGCCAUGCCGCGUGAGUGAUGAAGGCCCUAGGG
This 384-nucleotide ribosomal RNA is filed under the name uncultured bacterium. RNAcentral's name for it is "bacterial SSU rRNA". It matches the Rfam family "Bacterial small subunit ribosomal RNA", at positions 8 to 422 of the family's 1533-position model. The record is from RNAcentral.